RNAcentral lists this ribosomal RNA (156 nucleotides) under Brassica napus (rape). Its description in RNAcentral is "rRNA 5_8S_rRNA". It matches the Rfam family "5.8S ribosomal RNA". Rfam says of the family: 5.8S ribosomal RNA (5.8S rRNA) is a component of the large subunit of the eukaryotic ribosome. It is transcribed by RNA polymerase I as part of the 45S precursor that also contains 18S and 28S rRNA. Lineage: Eukaryota; Viridiplantae; Streptophyta; Magnoliopsida; Brassicales; Brassicaceae. The record is from RNAcentral.
GACUCUCGGCAAUGGAUAUCUCAGCUCUCGCAUCGAUGAAGAACGUAGCAAAAUGCGAUACUUGGUGUGAAUUGCAGAAUCCCGUGAACGAUCGAGUCUUUGAACGCAAGUUGCACCCCAAGCCUUCUGGCCGAGGGCAUGUAUGCCUGGGUGUCA